GAGAGAGAGAGAGAGAGACUGAGCUGAAGCAGUUUGCCCUGAGUGGUUCUUCUGCAUAUCCCAAGGACUCACUCACCACCUUCCCUCUGUGUCCUCCAUGCUUCUAGGGACCCAGACAGCUCUUACCUGAUGGGAAGGGAAAGAAACCAUGGAUCCAGCAAUGACCCACAUGAUUUUCAACUACGAGGCAGCUUAGAUGCAUCUGUGUAUAGAUCUGAAGACAAACUGAAGCCCUGUAGUGUCCCUGCUGAGGCUGCCCCAGGGGAAAGAGGAGCCCAUCCAUUAACACUUGAGCAACGGGACAGCCAACCUUGGGUCUUCAAAACAGGCUUAUAUGUUGCGGAGAGCGACGACGAGGGCCGCCAAAGUCAGUGCCACCGUUAGACCACGCCAUCUUCAGAACGAUUUCCCAGGCUUUGAAACAACUACAGAUGGAUUGCUGAGGUGUCUCAGAGGGAAGGGAGUUGGAAUGGCACUAGCUAGGAAGCUGUAUGUUGAUAUGAUAAAAGGAAUUUCCUGGGAAUCCCGAUCUCCCCAAUAUUUUUAGCAGUGUGGUCGAGUUCCUCCCAUGAUUGUCGAGCACACCAUGAAUUUUAGCAAACCUUCGUAUUAAUAAAUCAAUUGUACACG
Molecule: long non-coding RNA, 630 nt
Filed under: Rattus norvegicus (Norway rat)
Lineage: Eukaryota; Metazoa; Chordata; Mammalia; Rodentia; Muridae
Description: long non-coding RNA NONRATT031948
Source: RNAcentral